GAUGAAGAACGUAGCGAAAUGCGAUAAGUAAUGUGAAUUGCAGAAUUCCGUGAAUCAUCGAAUCUUUGAACGCAUAUUGCGCCCUCUGGUAUUCUGGGGGGCAUGCCUGUUCGAGCGUCAUUUCACCACUCAAGCCUGGCUUGGUGUUGGGCGACGUCCCCUUUGGGGACGCGCCUCGAAACGCUCGGCGGCGUGGCACCGGCUUUAAGCGUAGCAGAAUCUUUCGCUUUGGAAGUCGGGGCCCCGUCUGCCGGAAGACCUACUCGCAAGGUUGACCUCGGAUCAGGCAGGGAUACCCGCUGAACUUAAGCAUAUCAAUAAGCGGAGGA
RNAcentral lists this unclassified non-coding RNA (329 nucleotides) under soil metagenome. RNAcentral describes it as "partial contains 5.8S ribosomal RNA, internal transcribed spacer 2, and large subunit ribosomal RNA". The stretch from base 1 to 120 matches the Rfam family "5.8S ribosomal RNA", at positions 35 to 154 of the family's 154-position model. The record is from RNAcentral.